AGCAGUAGCCGCGGUAAUACGUAGGGUGCGAGCGUUAAUCGGAAUUACUGGGCGUAAAGCGUGCGCAGGCGGUGAUGUAAGACAGAUGUGAAAUCCCCGGGCUCAACCUGGGAACUGCAUUAGUGACUGCAUCGCUGGAGUGCGGCAGAGGGGGAUGGAAUUCCGCGUGUAGCAGUGAAAUGCGUAGAUAUGCGGAGGAACACCGAUGGCGAAGGCAAUCCCCUGGGCCUGUACUGACGCUCAUGCACGAAAGCGUGGGGAGCAAACAGGAUUAGAUACCCCUGUAGUCCCUGUCUCUUAUAC
Molecule: ribosomal RNA, 303 nt
Filed under: uncultured bacterium
Lineage: Bacteria
Description: partial 16S ribosomal RNA
Rfam family: Bacterial small subunit ribosomal RNA
Source: RNAcentral